Molecule: ribosomal RNA, 253 nt
Filed under: uncultured bacterium
Lineage: Bacteria
Description: partial 16S ribosomal RNA
Rfam family: Bacterial small subunit ribosomal RNA
Source: RNAcentral
UACGUAGGGUGCAAGCGUUGUCCGGAAUUAUUGGGCGUAAAGAGCUCGUAGGCGGUCUGUUGCGUCGGCUGUGAAAACCCGGGGCUCAACUCCGGGCCUGCAGCCGAUACGGGCAGACUAGAGUUCGGCAGGGGAGACUGGAAUUCCUGGUGUAGCGGUGAAAUGCGCAGAUAUCAGGAGGAACACCGGUGGCGAAGGUGGGUCUCUGGGCCGGUACUGACGCUGAGACGCGAAAGCGUGGGGAGCGAACAGG